Molecule: ribosomal RNA, 253 nt
Filed under: uncultured bacterium
Lineage: Bacteria
Description: partial 16S ribosomal RNA
Rfam family: Bacterial small subunit ribosomal RNA
Source: RNAcentral
UACGUAGGGUGCAAGCGUUGUCCGGAAUUAUUGGGCGUAAAGAGCUCGUAGGCGGUCUGUCGCGUCGGCUGUGAAAACCCGGGGCUCAACUCCGGGCCUGCAGUCGAUACGGGCAGACUAGAGUUCGGUAGGGGAGACUGGAAUUCCUGGUGUAGCGGUGAAAUGCGCAGAUAUCAGGAGGAACACCGGUGGCGAAGGCGGGUCUCUGGGCCGAAACUGACGCUGAGGAGCGAAAGCAUGGGGAGCGAACAGG